ACAUUCUUAGCCACCGAAGUAUGGCACCAAAAGCGAUAAGGAGCAUGUGUUCCUUAAUAAAUGUCACAUCAGAAAAUGACUGUUCCAGGACAGUAACCACCUCCCGAUGGUUUCUGUGGCUGGAUCAGGCACCGGAAGAGGCUCCCCAGCUGUAACUCUAGUGCAGUUACCUUCGGGCCAAACUAUACAUGUCCAGGGAGUAAUUCAGACACCACAGCCAUCAGUUAUUCAGUCACCACAAAUACACACUGUUCAGGUAGCAACAAUUGCAGAGACAGAUGAAUCUGCAGAAUCAGAAGGUGUAAUUGAUUCUCAUAAACGUAGAGAAAUCCUUUCACGAAGACCCUCUUAUAGGAAAAUACUGAAUGAACUGUCCUCUGAUGUGCCUGGUGUUCCCAAGAUUGAAGAAGAAAGAUCAGAGGAAGAAGGAACACCACCUAGCAUUGCUACCAUGGCAGUACCAACUAGCAUAUAUCAGACUAGCACGGGGCAAUACAUUGCUAUAGCCCAAGGUGGAACAAUCCAGAUUUCUAACCCAGGAUCUGAUGGUGUUCAGGGACUGCAGGCAUUAACAAUGACAAAUUCAGGAGCUCCUCCACCAGGUGCUACAAUUGUACAGUACGCAGCACAAUCAGCUGAUGGCACACAGCAGUUCUUUGUCCCAGGCAGCCAGGUUGUUGUUCAAGGUAUAUUUUAUUAAUCUAAUACAUUUAGAAUACCU
RNAcentral lists this small RNA (721 nucleotides) under Pongo abelii (Sumatran orangutan). RNAcentral's name for it is "processed transcript". Lineage: Eukaryota; Metazoa; Chordata; Mammalia; Primates; Hominidae. The record is from RNAcentral.